Molecule: ribosomal RNA, 137 nt
Filed under: uncultured eukaryote
Lineage: Eukaryota
Description: partial 18S ribosomal RNA
Rfam family: Eukaryotic small subunit ribosomal RNA
Source: RNAcentral
UGGUGGAGUGAUUUGUCUGCUUAAUUGCGAUAACGAACGAGACCUUAACCUGCUAAAUAGCCCGGCUAGCUUUGGCUGGUCGCUGGCUUCUUAGAGGGACUAUCGGCUCAAGCCGAUGGAAGUUUGAGGCAAUAACA